RNAcentral lists this long non-coding RNA (1244 nucleotides) under Felis catus (domestic cat). RNAcentral's name for it is "lncRNA (ENSFCAG00000049946.1)". The record is from RNAcentral. Lineage: Eukaryota; Metazoa; Chordata; Mammalia; Carnivora; Felidae.
CAGGCGGUUCGGUCCAGGGCUUCCCCUGAGGCUCCAUGCCCUGUCACCAUGGGCGGUUGCGGGACAAGGGUCAGGAGUCCCCCGCUCCCCCCCCCCCACCAGGCCCCAGUGGAGGUCAGCUCCUGCCAGGGCCACGGGACAGGCCCUUGACUCCUGCCGCUGCUCACCUCUCUUCUGGGCCCCACCAUCCCGGGGGCAUCCCUCUGCACAGUCUGUUACCUCCCCCCGGCCCUUCUUUCUGGUUGUCUGCCGGAUAACACCCCCUAAGUGUUGCUUCCCGGGUCUAGAGGGAGAGGAUGUCUUUGCCCCUCUGGCACGCAGGCUGGUGCCCACCCACGUCCGGGGAGGGUGCAUGUUGCAAGUAUAGAGAGACCCACAGCCUGGCCACUUCCCCACUUGCUCCUCUGGGCCUUGGCCCCCAGCCCACCUUUACCUGAGUAGGAGCUGUGAGCAGACCUCCUGCCGGCCCCCGGCCCUUGGUAGCCCUUCCGUCAGUGAAUCUGAAAGGGUCCCACACAGUGGCGGUAAAAGGCCCUGGGAAAGCCAGGGUGCAGAGGCUUGCAGGGGGACCCCACCCCACAGCCCCCCCGGGGCCAAGCCCCCAGGUCAGUUCCAGACCCACCCCUUCAAGGCCAUGCUGAGACUGGGCCCUGGAGGGGAGGUCAGGCAGCCUUCCUGCCCCAGCUGGCCAGGGGAGGGUGGAGGAGGGGCUGGCCGGGUCACGCUCCCCGCACUUAUCGGGACGCCGAGCAACCUGCCCUCUCCCCUGGACCUGAGUUCUGGAAAACAAAGCGGGCCCGACAGCUUUGGAACAUGGUGCCUGGUGCUGAUGCUCACGCAGGACAUCUUCUGGAGCCCACCCCUGGGACGCACACCUGGCUGCUCGUUCUCCGGGGUUGGCUCUGGCUCCACCUCCGGGGAGCCCUCCCUGACUCUCCACCCAGCAGUGGAGGAGACAGUGCCGGUCGCCAGGAUGGGCAGCGUCACGCCCGGGCCUCCCUCACUGGACAGCGGCCCUCAGGAAAGGGAAAGGACGGUGUCUCCGGUCUUUGCGGUGGGCGUCGGGAGCCAGGGACGGACACACAGCAGCCGUGCGAAUAUCCAAGGAAGCUCCACCGAGGAAGCUCCACGGCUGGCAAACAGGCUCGGAGGAAGAUGCUGUCCACCAUCAGCCCUCAGGGAGACGCAAACACGAGCGACCACAAGAAAGUCGCCGAGGGGCCAAGCUCCCCCAGACCCCCCUC